CCAAGGAGUCUGGCAGAUGCGCCGAGUCCGAGGGUUGUAAGAAUCCUAUUGGGCGAAGUGAAAGCGAAUUUGGGCCCAUCUCUUUUUUUUUUAAAAAAAGAAGGAGCGCAAGCCCGGGACUCUCUGGAUUUUAUAUACCACUGAGUACCCUGAGCGCAUAUGCCAGGACCCGAAAGAUGGUGAACUAUGCCUGAUCAGGACGAAGCCAGGGGAAACUCUGGUGGAGGUCCGCACUGGUUCUGACGUGCAAAUCGAUCAGACGAGUUGGGCAUAGGGGCGAAAGACUAAUCGAACCAUCUAGUAGCUGGUUCCCCCCGAAAUUUCCCUCAGAUAGCUGGCACUCGGGAGGAGUUUCACCCUGUAAAGCUAACGAUUAGGGUGAUCGGGGGCGCAAUGCCCUCGAACCAUUCUCGAACUCUAAAUGGGUGAGAGGCUGGACCUGCCAAAUGGAGGUACCGGCGUAGAAUCCAGAGUGCCUAGUGGGCCAUUUUUGGUAAGCAGAACUGGCGAUGUGGGAUGAACCAAGAGCCGGGCUAAGGUGCCAAAGGGGACGGUCAUCAGAUCCCAAGAAGGGUGUUGGUCGCUAUAGACAGCAGGGCGGUGGCCAUGGAAGUCGGAAUCCGCCAAGGAGUGUGUAACAACUCACCUGCCGAAGCGAGCAGCCCCUAAAAUGGAUGUGCGCUGAAACGUCCCACCGAUGCCUGGCCGUUGGAGCAGGAGAGGCCUGCCAGAAGGCUCCUUCAUUGAAGAUGAGUGGCAGGAGACCUCUAAGCUCCAACGAGUAGGAGGGUCGCAGCAGUGGCGCUGAAGGGAUUCAGGGUGACCUGGCCUGUAGCCGCUGUUGGCGCAGAUCUUGGUGGUAGUGCAAAUAAUCGAGAU
This 879-nucleotide ribosomal RNA is filed under the name Tethysbaena argentarii. RNAcentral's name for it is "eukaryotic LSU rRNA". It matches the Rfam family "Eukaryotic large subunit ribosomal RNA", at positions 666 to 1477 of the family's 3401-position model. The record is from RNAcentral. Lineage: Eukaryota; Metazoa; Arthropoda; Malacostraca; Thermosbaenacea; Monodellidae.